AAUGCGUCAAUCUUGACCGUUUAUUUUGCCUCUCCUGAAAAUCGAAAGGUGACGAUUCCAGGAAAUUGCUUACAUCCCCGCGACGAAACUAACAACGUGCGGGGUUUCCUUCCUCUUUCUGUUAUUCUUCCCGCAAAUCGGAUUUUCCUUUGUCGCGAAGUCGACUCUCUUUCUCUUGAUUGUUUUCCCUACCUGCAAUUCCGCCGAUGCAAGAAACAGAACUUCACGAUUUGUCCGACGACGCCGAUUACGCUGCGUCGCAGCAACAGGCAUCAUCCAGCAUAUUGCUGCGGAGCGACAGUAGUAAACAGAGCUCAAAUAGUGAGCCAGACAGCGCCCAGCUAGUUUUUACGAAGGACAAUGUCGCAAUUCAUCCGACUCAAUUUGCUUCCGAAAGGAUUAGUGGAAGACUGAAGUUGAUUAAGCAAGGCUCUUCUCUGUUUAUGUCAUGGAUACCUUAUACAGCGAACAAUUCGAAUGCCAUGCUGUCUGAGAAAGACAGAAACCUUUACACCAUAAGGGCGGUGCCCUUUACUGACAUCAGGUCCAUUCGAAGACAUACUCCUCCACUUGGGUGGCAAUACAUCAUUGCUGUUUUGUCAUCAGGACUUGCAUACCCACCUCUGUACUUUUACAAUGGAGGAGUCAGAGAAUUUCUUGCUACAAUAAAGCAACAUGUUCUUCUUGUAAGAUCUGCAGAAGACACGAAUGUGUUCAUUGUGAAUGAUUUAAAGAAUCCUCUGCAGAGGACAUUGUCGUCAUUGGAGAUGCCCAGGGCUGUUUCUAUUGCUUGUGAACCUUCAAAUAUAUCAGCUAAUGAGUCAACUUUGAAUGAGAACCAAGAGAGGACUGAUAGCGGUGCCAGUGAUGGACAUGCUGCUGUUUCUCAAUAUCAUGGAAGAUCAAGACAUAGAGUUAAUGAUCCUGCCAGAGAUAUUUCUAUUCAAGUUUUGGAGAAGUUCUCUCUUGUGACCAAAUUUGCCCGUGAGACAACUUCACAACUCUUCAGUGAUCAGAGUAAUGGAUUUGGUGCCAUUGAGAGAAGUUUUGAUGAGACUCCUUUUGAUCAUCACAACAAGUCUUCCAGUAUAGGAGAAAAAAUUCCUGAUGAAAGUCCUGUUCCCUCAGAUCCUCUGGAGUUUGAUAAAUUAUCACAAGUAUGGGGAAAACCACGGCAACUGCCUUUAGGUUAUGAUGAGUGGGUUGGGUUCUUGGAUUCUGAAGGGCGAGUAACAGAUUCAGAAGCUUUAAGAAGGAGAAUAUUUUAUGGAGGACUUGACCAUGAGUUGCGGAAUGAGGUUUGGGGAUUUCUGUUGGGGUACUAUUCAUAUGAUUCAACAUAUGCUGAGAGGGAAUAUCUGAAGUCAGUCAAGAAGUCGGAGUACGAGACUAUAAAGAGCCAGUGGCAGAGUAUCCUCCCAGCACAGGCUAGAAGAUUCACAAAAUUCAGAGAGAGGAAAGGCCUAAUUGACAAAGAUGUGGUGAGGACUGACAGAAUUCUUGCUUUCUAUGAUGGGGAUGAUAAUCCAAAUGUGAAUGUUCUACGGGAUAUCCUGUUGACUUAUUCAUUCUACAACUUUGACCUCGGUUAUUGUCAGCCAGGGUAGGAAUAUGUUAAUAGCUAACAUCUUUCUGCACCAAAGUAAUUUAUGGUACCACAAAUCAAGAGUUGAGGUCCCUCAUUUUUCCAACUUCCCAUUACCAUCCCUCCCCAAUCUGACCCUGAAAUUGGGGGGAAAAGGAAAGGUUAAUAAUUGAGAAUUGACAUUCCAUAUGUUUAGGCAAUCUUAUAUUUGUUAUCGUACAGGGUAUGAGUGAUCUUCUUUCCCCGAUAUAUUUUGUAAUGGGUGACGAAUCAGAGGCAUUUUGGUGUUUCGUAGCGCUUAUGGAGCGUCUUGGACCCAACUUCAAUCGUGAUCAAAAUGGCAUGCAUUCUCAACUUUUUGCAUUAUCUAAGUUGGUAGAGUUACUGGAUAGUCCAUUGCAUAAAUAUUUUGAGCAGCA
RNA transcript from Prosopis cineraria, 2004 nucleotides. RefSeq lists it as uncharacterized. The record is from RefSeq and is a predicted model, not a curated record. The transcript has 14 exons. Lineage: Eukaryota; Viridiplantae; Streptophyta; Magnoliopsida; Fabales; Fabaceae.